This 496-nucleotide ribosomal RNA is filed under the name uncultured bacterium. Its description in RNAcentral is "partial 16S ribosomal RNA". It matches the Rfam family "Bacterial small subunit ribosomal RNA", at positions 29 to 507 of the family's 1533-position model. The record is from RNAcentral.
AUGAACGCUGGCGGCGUGCCUCAUACAUGCAAGUCGAGCGAACAGACGAGGAGCUUGCUCCUCUGACGUUAGCGGCGGACGGGUGAGUAACACGUGGAUAACCUACCUAUAGGACUGGGAUAACUUCGGGAAACCGGAGCUAAUACCGGAUAAUAUAUUGAACCGCAUGGUUCAAUAGUGAAAGACGGUUUUGCUGUCACUUAUAGAUGGAUCCGCGCCGCAUUAGCUAGUUGGUAAGGUAACGGCUUACCAAGGCAACGAUGCGUAGCCGACCUGAGAGGGUGAUCGGCCACACUGGAACUGAGACACGGUCCAGACUCCUACGGGAGGCAGCAGUAGGGAAUCUUCCGCAAUGGGCGAAAGCCUGACGGAGCAACGCCGCGUGAGUGAUGAAGGUCUUCGGAUCGUAAAACUCUGUUAUUAGGGAAGAACAAAUGUGUAAGUAACUAUGCACGUCUUGACGGUACCUAAUCAGAAAGCCACGGCUAACUACGUG